Long non-coding RNA from Corapipo altera (White-ruffed manakin), 433 nucleotides. RefSeq lists it as uncharacterized. The record is from RefSeq and is a predicted model, not a curated record. Lineage: Eukaryota; Metazoa; Chordata; Aves; Passeriformes; Pipridae. The transcript has 2 exons.
CCCCCUCUUUGCCAGUUUAAAGCCAUUCCCCUUCUAUCACUGCAGGCCCUUCCUGGAUCACUCCCCCCCCAAAGCUGCAUCAGGGCUGUGACAUCAUCUCACUCCAGCACCCACAACCUCAGGGAUGGACUUCACCACAUCCAACAACAUUCAGGCUGAUGUCUUGGAACACAUGGGAUUGACAGCUCCUUGUGUUCUUCUUCUACAGCACAACUGUUUCUCUUGCUCAGAAACCAUCUCUGGGAAGAGCAACAAUUUACCCAGCAGAGAGUGAAGGUCUAAGAUUCCCAAAGCAUCCUAAGACAUCUGCUCUGUAUUGGUUUGCAGAGCUGCUCGAGAAACACGAGCUCUGCAGCAAGAAAACAGAUUCUAUUUCAUGGCCAGAGUUCUGGGAGGAAAGAAAAAGAGGAUUAAAGAAAACAGUUAAAAUACA